AGUGAACGCUGGCGGUAGGCCUAACACAUGCAAGUCGAACGGCAGCACAGUAAGAGCUUGCCCUUACGGGUGGCGAGUGGCGGACGGGUGAGGAAUACAUCGGAAUCUACUUUUUCGUGGGGGGUAACGUAGGGAAACUUACGCUAAUACCGCAUACCACCUACGGGUGAAAGCAGGGGAUCUUCGGACCUUGCGCGAUCGAAUGAGCCGAUGUCGGAUUAGCUAGUUGGCGGGGUAAAGGCCCACCAAGGCGACGAUCCGUAGCUGGUCUGAGAGGAUGAGCAGCCACACUGGAACUGAGACACGGUCCAGACUCCUACGGGAGGCAGCGGUGGGGAAUAUUGGACAAUGGGCGCAAGCCUGAUCCAGCCAUACCGCGUGGGUGAAGAAGGCCUUCGGGUUGUAAAGCCCUUUUGUUGGGAAAGAAAAGCAGCAGGUUAAUACCACGCUGUUCUGACGGUACCCAAAGAAUAAGCACCGGCUAACUUCGUG
Molecule: ribosomal RNA, 492 nt
Filed under: uncultured bacterium
Lineage: Bacteria
Description: partial 16S ribosomal RNA
Rfam family: Bacterial small subunit ribosomal RNA
Source: RNAcentral